GAGCCAGACUCCUACGGGAGGCAGCAGUGGGGAAUAUUGCACAAUGGGGGAAACCCUGAUGCAGCGACGCCGCGUGAGCGAUGAAGUAUUUCGGUAUGUAAAGCUCUAUCAGCAGGGAAGAAAAUGACGGUACCUGAGUAAGAAGCCCCGGCUAACUACGUGCCAGCAGCCGCGGUAAUACGUAGGGGGCAAGCGUUAUCCGGAUUUACUGGGUGUAAAGGGGGCGCAGACGGCGAUGCAAGCCAGGAGUGAAAGCCCGGGGCCCAACCCCGGGACUGCUCUUGGAACUGCGUGGCUGGAGUGCAGGAGGGGCAGGCGGAAUUCCUGGUGUAGCGGUGAAAUGCGUAGAUAUCAGGAGGAACACCGGUGGCGAAGGCGGCCUGCUGGACUGCAACUGACGUUGAGGCCCGAAAGCGUGGGGAGCAAACAGGAUUAGAUACCCGGGUAA
RNAcentral lists this ribosomal RNA (448 nucleotides) under uncultured bacterium. RNAcentral describes it as "bacterial SSU rRNA". It matches the Rfam family "Bacterial small subunit ribosomal RNA", at positions 328 to 793 of the family's 1533-position model. The record is from RNAcentral.